This 643-nucleotide ribosomal RNA is filed under the name uncultured Actinomycetes bacterium. RNAcentral describes it as "bacterial SSU rRNA". It matches the Rfam family "Bacterial small subunit ribosomal RNA", at positions 232 to 885 of the family's 1533-position model. The record is from RNAcentral. Lineage: Bacteria; Bacillati; Actinomycetota; Actinomycetes.
CGCGGCCUAUCAGCUUGUUGGUGAGGUAAUGGCUCACCAGGGCGACGACGGGUAGCCGGCCUGAGAGGGUGACCGGCCACACUGGGACUGAGACACGGCCCAGACUCCUACGGGAGGCAGCAGUGGGGAAUAUUGCACAAUGGGCGCAAGCCUGAUGCAGCGACGCCGCGCGAGGGAUGACGGCCUUCGGGUUGUAAACCUCUUUCAGUAGGGAAGAAGCGAAAGUGACGGUACCUGCAGAAGAAGCACCGGCUAACUACGUGCCAGCAGCCGCGGUAAUACGUAGGGUGCGAGCGUUAUCCGGAAUUAUUGGGCGUAAAGAGCUCGUAGGCGGUUUGUCGCGUCUGUCGUGAAAGUCCGGGGCUUAACCCCGGAUCUGCGGUGGGUACGGGCAGACUAGAGUUCAGUAGGGGAGACUGGAAUUCCUGGUGUAGCGGUGGAAUGCGCAGAUAUCAGGAGGAACACCGAUGGCUAAGGCAGGUCUCUGGGCUGUAACUGACGCUGAGGAGCGAAAGCAUGGGGAGCGAACAGGAUUAGAUACCCUGGUAGUCCAUGCCGUAAACGUUGGGCACUAGGUGUGGGGACCAUUCCACGGUUUCCGCGCCGCAGCUAACGCAUUAAGUGCCCCGCCUGGGGAGUACGG